RNAcentral lists this ribosomal RNA (251 nucleotides) under uncultured bacterium. RNAcentral describes it as "partial 16S ribosomal RNA". It matches the Rfam family "Bacterial small subunit ribosomal RNA", at positions 71 to 339 of the family's 1533-position model. The record is from RNAcentral.
AAAGUGACUUCGGUCAUGAUUAAAGUGGCAAACGGGUGAGUAACACGUGGGAAUUUCCCCUUCAGUUCAGAAUAGCCCUUGGAAACGAGGAGUAAUACUGAAUACGAUCUACGGAUGAAAGAUUUAUCGCUGAGGGAUAAGCCCGCGCUAGAUUAGCUAGUUGGUGAGGUAAUGGCUCACCAAGGCUACGAUCUAUAGCUGGUCUGAGAGGAUGAUCAGCCACACUGGGACUGAGAUACGGCCCAGACUCC